AGCAGUGUAGCCUAGUGGUAAGGAGCAGGGCUUGUAACUGAAAGGUUGCAGGUUCGAUUCCCUGCUGUGGUGCUG
Molecule: transfer RNA, 75 nt
Filed under: Megalops atlanticus (tarpon)
Lineage: Eukaryota; Metazoa; Chordata; Actinopteri; Elopiformes; Megalopidae
Description: tRNA-OTHER
Source: RNAcentral